Molecule: long non-coding RNA, 365 nt
Filed under: Homo sapiens (human)
Lineage: Eukaryota; Metazoa; Chordata; Mammalia; Primates; Hominidae
Description: HSALNT0181487
Source: RNAcentral
GUGGAGUUGAGUUACAGCACCAAGAGCACCCUGGGCUAUAAGGGAACUAGAAUGCAGUUGUUAGCAGCAGCGAAUCUGCAUGGGUCUGCAGCAACCUCAAGUCUCCUCAGAAGAAAGAAUUUGACCAAGGGGCAUAAGGCAGAAGGAGAGACCCGGGCAAGCUUCAGAGCAAGAGUGGAAGUUUAUUAAAAAGCUUCAGAGCAGGAAUGAAAGAAAAGUACACUUGGAAGAGAGCCAAACAGGUGACUUGAGAGAUCAAGUAAAACCUCAUUAACGUAACUGCAACAAUGAAGACAUUACCUAGCUCUAUCUCGACUGAGGUACAAGGUUGUUAAAAUGUGGACAGAUUGGAGCGCUACAAAAAU